Non-coding RNA from Actinomyces johnsonii F0510, 74 nucleotides. The record is from Rfam. NCBI's taxonomy places the organism in Bacteria, Bacillati, Actinomycetota, Actinomycetes, Actinomycetales, Actinomycetaceae.
CGGGCUGUGGCGCAGUUUGGUAGCGCACCUGCUUUGGGAGCAGGGGGCCGCGGGUUCAAAUCCCGCCAGCCCGA